AUGGCGAAUGAUAGCAUCCUUCAUGUCUUCAUUGUUUUUCUCAUCGCUCAAGUCUGCCUGCUCAUGAUGAUGAUAGCGCCGGUGACACAUGCAGCUGGUAGGCUUAUGGGCUAUAAUCCAGUUUGCUGCCCUAGGGACAUCUAUUGUUGUGGAUUUGGUGGCGUGAUGGCUAAUGGAACCUCAUCCUCCAUUGAGCCUUAA
RNAcentral lists this ribosomal RNA (201 nucleotides) under Triticum aestivum (bread wheat). RNAcentral's name for it is "partial small subunit ribosomal RNA". Lineage: Eukaryota; Viridiplantae; Streptophyta; Magnoliopsida; Poales; Poaceae. The record is from RNAcentral.